UUCAGGGGUAAACCUGAGAAACCCGAAAGAUCGAAUGGGGAGAUUCAUCGUCAGCGAUUUUGGUACGUGUGCGGUUCGGGAUGCCGGUGACUUCGGUCACUCGACACUCGUCUGCAUGUUUAUUAUUGCCUGAAUCGUCGGCGUGCACUUCUCCCCUAGUAGGACGUCGCGACCCGUUGGGUGUCGGUCUACGGCUCGAAUGGUAGCCUGUCUCGCGUGCGUCUCACGGCGUUUCGCGGGUCAGACCUUCGAUCGCCCGACCGGCUGCUCGGCGGUACUCGCACGGUAUCUGGCCGCAAAUAUUUGAACUGCGUCCGGCCCGUCGCAAGCGAGGCAAGUGUUCCCGGCUGUACGGAUUUAAUGCCGUCGCCGGGCCUUGACAGCUGUUGGUUGACGGUGUCCUGGGACUGGCCAACAAAAUUAUGAUACCGGUCGGCGACGCUACUGCUUUGGGUACUUUCAGGACCCGUCUUGAAACACGGACCAAGGAGUCUAACAUGUGCGCGAGUCAUUGGGAACUAUUAAACCUAAAGGCGCAAUGAAAGUGAAGGUCGGCCUUGCGCCGACCGAGGGAGGAUGGGCCGCGUCACGAUGCGGUCUCGCACUCCCGGGGCGUCUCGUUCUCAUUGCGAGAAGAGGCGCACCCAGAGCGUACACGUUGGGACCCGAAAGAUGGUGAACUAUGCCUGGUCAGGACGAAGUCAGGGGAAACCCUGAUGGAGGUCCGUAGCGAUUCUGACGUGCAAAUCGAUCGUCGGAACUGGGUAUAGGGGCGAAAGACUAAUCG
This 787-nucleotide ribosomal RNA is filed under the name Ateleute sp. 11 BFS-2018. Its description in RNAcentral is "partial 28S large subunit ribosomal RNA". It matches the Rfam family "Eukaryotic large subunit ribosomal RNA", at positions 408 to 937 of the family's 3401-position model. The record is from RNAcentral. Lineage: Eukaryota; Metazoa; Arthropoda; Insecta; Hymenoptera; Ichneumonidae.